Molecule: long non-coding RNA, 211 nt
Filed under: Musa acuminata (dwarf banana)
Lineage: Eukaryota; Viridiplantae; Streptophyta; Magnoliopsida; Zingiberales; Musaceae
Description: long non-coding RNA (MACU_LNC008670)
Source: RNAcentral
ACCCGAUGAAGAAUCUAUUCAAAAUGAUCGAUAUAACAUAAUAAAUAAAAACCUACUGAAAAGACUUAGGUGCACUUUUAGCAAUGGCAUAUGGGUUAGGCAGCCUAGAAGGACUGAUCCAAUUCCUCCACCAAUAGAACACCCCGAAACACCAAUUCUUAUGGGAAAUGAAUCUCCUCCUCCUAGUUCCUUUGGCGCAGCACCUUCAGCU